UAUUAAAGUUGUUGCGGUUAAAAAGCUCGUAGUUGGAUUUCUGUUGAGGGCAGCCGGUCCGCACCCGGUGCGUGUAUCUGGUUUGACCUCGGCAUCCUCUCAAAAUACGUUUCUGCGCUUGAUUGCGUGGAGUGGAGUUUGGGACUUUUACUUUGAGGAAAUUAGAGUGUUCACGGCAGGCAUACGCCCUGAAUAUAUUAGCAUGGAAUAAUAAUAUAGGAUCUUGGUUCUAUUUUGUUGGUUUCUAGAGCUAAGAUAAUGAUUAAUAGGGACAAUUGGGGGCAUUCGUAUUAACGCGUCAGAGGUGGAAUUCUUGAAUUGCGUUACGACGAACUACUGCGAAAGCAUUUGCCAAGGAUGUUUUCAUUGAUCAAGAACGAAAGUAAAGGGAUCGAAGACGAUUAGAUACCGUCGUAGUCUUUACCAUAAACUAUGCCAACUAGAGAUGGGGUGUCGUUCCUUUCUGACUCACUCCGCACCUUAUGAGAAAUCAAAGUCUUUGGGUUCCGGGGGGAGUAUGGUCGCAAGGCUGAAACUUAAAGGAAUUG
Molecule: ribosomal RNA, 548 nt
Filed under: uncultured marine picoplankton
Lineage: Eukaryota
Description: SSU rRNA
Rfam family: Eukaryotic small subunit ribosomal RNA
Source: RNAcentral